AAAGGACUCUAUAUGCAGUCAUUAAAUGCAAUUCCUAUCGCACUCAUAACUCAUAGAGAAGUUGGUAACUGAGCCGAGAAGAAUACACCCAGGAGACCUGACCCCCUGCACUCUUUCUUAACCUGCAAAUUACAUUUUCCUUAAAAACAAAUAAAUGACCAUAGAAAUCCCUCAGAAGCUUUAGUUACAGAAAGAACAGCAAGUAACACACCCUUAGUGACAUCACAAAACCCCAUACUUUGGCUGGAACUGUUGAACAACUGUUCAAGUGCAUGUGGGGAAGUAAAACUGUAUCCAUGUGGCUGUGGGAAGUCAUGGCAUGCCCAGCCUAUUACUUGCUUCAGUAGCUGGGUGCAACUAAAUCAGCAUUCAUAAAAACAACAAGCUGGCUGAGAAACAAGGAUACUUGAAUUCCUACUUCUUGGAACCUAUGCAGGAACUUCUGUCAACCUACUACAAGAUCCACUUACCCCCAGCUGAGAUAACCUUGCAGGCUGGGGCUUCACGGUCAACAGCACAACCAGGUGGAGUGCAAAGCAAGAACCAAAUGCUGGCAAACGCCAAGGAGGAAUAAAACUUGCACUCAACGGAUUGUUUAUCCUCACAGGCAUCUUUUUUAUUGUUGUUGUUAUUUUUUCUCUAAAGGAAGGGCAUUAUUUGAAAGUCCUUUCUAUUUGUCUCUUGUGAGUUUUCCCAGACCAACACACCA
This 709-nucleotide long non-coding RNA is filed under the name Coturnix japonica (Japanese quail). Its description in RNAcentral is "lncRNA (ENSCJPG00005008843.1)". The record is from RNAcentral. Lineage: Eukaryota; Metazoa; Chordata; Aves; Galliformes; Phasianidae.